Non-coding RNA from Paramisgurnus dabryanus, 2457 nucleotides. The record is from RefSeq and is a predicted model, not a curated record. Lineage: Eukaryota; Metazoa; Chordata; Actinopteri; Cypriniformes; Cobitidae.
AGCUGUCGGUCUGCCGGCGUUUCUUGGGUGGCAAGCCACCAGCGGCUUGCCCCUGCUGGACCACCGGUGGUACACCAGUGGCAAACCGCCCCAGCAAAUAAUGACCUGGCGGUCCGCCGGCGGUUUUUGGGUGGCACGAAGUCAGCGGCUUGACGCGGUCGGACCACCGUCGGGGCACCUUCGGCAAACCGACCAACGUAAAAAAGCUGUCGGUCUGCCGGCGUUUCUUGGGUGGCAAGCCACCAGCGGCUUGCCCCUGCUGGACCACCGAUGGUACACCAGUGGCAAACCGCCCCAGCAAACAAUGACCUGGCGGUCUGCCGGCGGUUUUUGGGUGGCACAAAGUCAGCGGCUUGACGCGGUCGGACCACCGUCGGGGCACCUUCGGCAAACCGACCAACGUAAAAAAGCUGUCUGUCUCCCGGCGUUUCUUGGGUGGCAAGCAACCAGCGGCUUGCCCCUGCCCACCGUUGGUACACCAGUGGCAAACUGCUAGGUUACUGAAACUAAGAAUUUUAAAAAUCUUAAGAAAAUACAUGAAAAACAAUAUGAGACUGCAUAUAGGGCUUAUUUAACGAAAUGCAUACAUAUUUUUUUAAUAUUUCAGUUUAAAAGAAUUUUAAGGAUAGAAUAAAAAAUGAGAGAUAGUGUUUGAUACAAUGUAGUCCACGUGCAGGCGUGGUAAUUUGGACAUUUAUAGACAACAAAACGAGUUUGUGAUUUCAUAAUCAUUUGAGGAGAUUUUAAAUUGUUGUAGUGAUUAUGUCAAUGUGUGAAUUUGCCAUGACGCGUGUGCUGUGCGUGCCGAACACGUGCCCUUUUUGGCUUGUUCGACUUCAUGCGGCGCUGCAAGAACCGACAGCUGUAUGACGUCAAAGUACCGCGAGAACGAUUCGAGAACUCAUACGAAGUGUAAUUUCGUCUCGCUCUCGCGGCACUUUAACGUCAUGCGUCUGUCAGUUCUAGCGGGGCCGCAGGCAGGAAGUCGAACAGCCGUCUUUCCCUCAAUACGGAUUACCAUGAGGUGGGACUGACGAAGCUCCUCUUUCACGGGUUUCUUUCCUGUUUUCAGGAGUGACCAAUAUAACCUCUAUAAUAGAAGAAAAGCUGAAGAUUUCAAAAUUUUCUGAAGGGAGCCACAGACAGAGAUGUAAACUCAGGCAGGUUGAGAGCAUAUUAACUCACUUUUUUCACAACAUAUUACCAUGCAUCUUGUCAUUUUUCUGCGUUUAUAGCAGUUAUUCCAGGAAGGUUUUAACAUCCAAACGUGAGUGGCACCAUAUGAGCAAUAUUAAAUGAACAAGUAAACCUAAAAACAUAGAUUCUGUUAUAUUUUGUAUACUUUAAUUUUCUUUUCUGUGUUUUACAUCCUUUUCAUCAAUAUUGAUUGCUUUGUGACAAAUUGCAUGUUAUGUUUGUAGAUUUUCCUUGCUGAUAUCCGUGCAGCAGAGUCAAAGCAGACCUGUCAGAAAACAUCUCUAAGUUGCUAUGAAUCUCAUAACUAGAUACACAUCAUGAGAUAACUAGAGCUUAUGGCUCUGUUUGGAUCCAGCCUCACUUGUGAAGAAUUCAGAUGAUGUAAACACUCACAAAGACAUUAUAUGAUGGCAUCUAUAGAUGGACAUACACAACUGCCAAAUGUAACAUAUUGUAAUUACUGCACCAAAGCGCAACCCUACAGAUUUUCAACCCACUUAAUAUUUUUACAAAUACAAUAUAUGUUUAUAUUUGAAAAAAAUAUUCUUUAGCUAAUUUUACUGAUUUAUUUCCAUUUAUUUGUCCACAAUACUCUGCCAAAAUGAUGUUUUGCAUCAUCCAAAUAUUGUUAAUGUACAUAUUACAGACAUUGUAACAACACAAAGUGGGUUGAAAAAGUUUCUUCUUCUAAGUGCAGUAACUACGCAAACACUAAAACCGAGAAAAAAGUUCUUAAAGUGUUUUACACCAGCGGGUCAAACUUGUUACUGCAAUUUUGGCAAACACAUUUCUCUGAUGGGACAAAAUUAAACCAGGAGACUUUGUCACAAGACAACAGAUCUCACAAAGCCCAUUUCAACCUUCACCUCAAUUUUGACCAAAUGCAUAGUUACUGCGCUUUGGCUUUGUUGGGCAGUAUAGUAGUAUUAUAGUAAUGCUGCAGUGAAACCAUGGUAACCAUAUAUUUUUAAAUCAUGGUAAAGUUUGUGGUUACUAAAAUGUAGUACUAUAAGCCUAUGCUGUUGUAAGAGAAUGUUUAUUCUUUAUUAUUGUUGUAAAAUCAUGGUUGAUUUUAUAUUUACCAUGUGUUACUGCAAAUGAUGGUAAAAUCAUGGAUAACUUUGCAUGGGUACAGAAAGGUGUAAACUGGUUGUUUUUAUUUGUAAGUCAUGUUGGUUUUAAUGCAUGUGAUAAAUGUAUAUGCAUUUGAAUAUUUAUUCUGUUUACUGACAAUAAUAAAUUUGCAGUUGCUGAUGUAAA